Long non-coding RNA from Carassius gibelio (silver crucian carp), 1125 nucleotides. RefSeq lists it as uncharacterized. The record is from RefSeq and is a predicted model, not a curated record. NCBI's taxonomy places the organism in Eukaryota, Metazoa, Chordata, Actinopteri, Cypriniformes, Cyprinidae. The transcript has 2 exons.
UUCACUUAAACGUUCUUUAGUCGGUAAGCUUGAAGGCAGGAGAGCGUCCCUGAGAUUAAAGGAACAUCCACUCUCAGCUCAUAAAGGCGAUGUUCUGUUAUCUGCUCCUCUAUCUCCUUCAUUCUCUCUCGUCAUGGGCUUCUAUAUAUUAGUGGUAAUAGCCUGUUUUGUUAAUUAUCAUGGAUGUCUUUGAUACAUAUCUUGACACGCUCCUUGAGGCAUAAAGAAAGUGCAUGUGCAGCAACAGAAAGGGAAGGAAGCUUUUAAGCAUUAAUGAACUUCUUUUUUUUUGCACUUAUCACUAUGUCUGCCCUUAAAUAGAAGCCUUUAACUUUCGAUUAUAUUUUGAGUUAUAUUGAGGAAAACAACAUUUUGGUCUCUCUUGUAUUAAAGUUUAUAUAUAUUAUAAUACUGCUGAUAUUUUUUUUUACAUGUAAUAUUAAAAAAAGUGUAUGUUUAUUUAUAAUAUAUUCAUUUUAAUUUUAUUGUGUGUGUGUGUGUAUACCUUUAUUUUAUAUUGUGUUAUUUAUUUAUUUUGACCUUUUUUACUAUUUUAUAUUAUAUAUUCUGCAUGAGCGUCCAAUGAGCAUUGAGCAACCCUCAGCUGGAUCCAAUCACUUUGAGGACUGACACACCUCCUCAUGGGCGGCUCUCUAAGCUCAGCAGUGCCUGUCGGGCACCGUCGUUUUUGGCUCUGUUUGCCAGCUGUACCUGGGCCACGAGCCGAACACUGGCAGGUUCUGCUGAAGAAGCCCUGAAGACAGACAUGAGCAGUCAGAAUUCACCAAAGGCUGGGCGGACCUGUUGACAGCUACAUGGAAUAUGGGCGGAAUACAAGCAAGAGAGGGAGGGCAAACAGAGGGUGUGCUGUGAGAGGCAUCUUUAUCAAAGCAAACACCCCUCUUUUUUGGAGGAGGAGCAGAAAAACCAAACACACACUCUGUAUUCUUCCACAAACCCCAAAAUACCUUCAUUUACCAAUCCAGUCAGGCCAUUCAUGGAAAUCCUUAUGAUAUCAUCUCAGCAAACACAACAACAACAAAUUAUUCUUUUAAUAAUAAUUAUUAAUAUUCUUAUGUGCAUCAUUGUAUUGUUUUUAUUAUAUAAAAGUCUACAUGAAACUUU